RNAcentral lists this transfer RNA (76 nucleotides) under Bacillota bacterium. RNAcentral's name for it is "Firmicutes bacterium (anaerobic digester metagenome) tRNA-Gly". It matches the Rfam family "tRNA". Rfam says of the family: Transfer RNA (tRNA) molecules are approximately 80 nucleotides in length. Their secondary structure includes four short double-helical elements and three loops (D, anti-codon, and T loops). Further hydrogen bonds mediate the characteristic L-shaped molecular structure. tRNAs have two regions of fundamental functional importance: the anti-codon, which is responsible for specific mRNA codon recognition, and the 3' end, to which the tRNAs corresponding amino acid is attached (by aminoacyl-tRNA synthetases). tRNAs cope with the degeneracy of the genetic code in two manners: having more than one tRNA (with a specific anti-codon) for a particular amino acid; and 'wobble' base-pairing, i.e. permitting non-standard base-pairing at the 3rd anti-codon position. Lineage: Bacteria; Bacillati; Bacillota. RNAcentral also lists the same sequence under 1 other name. The record is from RNAcentral.
GCGGAUGUAGCUCAAUUGGUAGAGUAUCGGCUUCCCAAGCCGAGGGUUGCGGGUUCGAGACCCGUCAUCCGCUCCA